CUGCAGCCCGAGUGGUGAUCGAUUUUAUUGAGCCUAAAGCGUCCGUAGCCGGACUAGUAAACCCUUGGGUAAAUUGGGCAGCUUAACUGUCCAAAUUCCGAGGGGACUGCUAGUCUUGGGACCGGGGGAGGUCAGAGGUACUCCAGGGGUAGGGGCUAAAUCCUGUAAUCCUUGGGGGACCACCAGUGGCGAAGGCGUCUGACUAGAACGGAUCCGACGGUAAGGGACGAAACCCUGGGGCGCGAACCGGAUUAGAUACCCGAGUAGUCC
Molecule: ribosomal RNA, 270 nt
Filed under: uncultured archaeon
Lineage: Archaea
Description: partial 16S ribosomal RNA
Rfam family: Archaeal small subunit ribosomal RNA
Source: RNAcentral